This is a long non-coding RNA of Gorilla gorilla gorilla (western lowland gorilla), 1309 nucleotides long. RefSeq lists it as uncharacterized. The record is from RefSeq and is a predicted model, not a curated record. NCBI's taxonomy places the organism in Eukaryota, Metazoa, Chordata, Mammalia, Primates, Hominidae. The transcript has 4 exons.
CGGCUGUCCCGGCAUCCCUGCUCUCGGUGUCCCGCACUUCCAAGCCUCCGGGGCGGAGCCUGGCUGGCAUCCUAGUCCUGCCAGCCUUAUCCCGAUGCCUACUGCUGGAGUGCAGUGGGGCGAUCUCGGCUCACUGCAACCUCCGCCUCCCGGGUUCAAGCGAUUCUCCUGCCUCUCAGCCUUCCAAGUAGCUGGAAUUACAGGCGUGCACGCCCGGCCAGCCAUGCAAUAGCCUUUUAACUGGUCUUCUGGCUUCCGUUCCAGGGUCUUGCUCUGUCGCCCAGGCUGGAGUGCAGUGGCGCCAUCAUAGUUCAAGCAGUCCUCUGCCUUAACCUCCCCAGCAGCUGGGAAUACAGGUGCGCGACGUCCUGCUCGACUAAACUUCAAAAUGCUGGAGAAAAGCAACUUUGCUACCCAACACUCGGGAGAAAAAGGCGUAUCAGAUAGAAGCGGGUGAAGAAGCUGAGAAAACAGAAGAGAAGGGUGGCUGCCAGCUCGGGACUCAAAAUGGCCAUCUGGGCGUAGAGACACAGAGACCCUUUGCGCAGACGUGCGCCGAGGGUCUUGCAAAGCUUUCGUUUUCUUUGUGUGCCGACCUGCCCCUAGAAGCGGUUUUCGAUGCUAUUUUAAAUGAUAUUCCUAAAAUUUCCGAAUUGCUUGUUGCUUAUAUAUAGAAAUACACUAGAUCUUUGUAUACUGACUUGGGAUUCAGCUCCAUGCUAAAUUUUGAAUUAAUUCUAAUGGUUUAUUUGUAGUUAGUUAUCGAUUUUCUAUACACAAUCACGCCAUCAGCAAAUAAUGACAGUUUUGCUUCCUUUUCAUCUUUGUAUCUUUUAUUUCUUUUCCUUGCCUUAUUGCAUGCACUGUCUACAGCCUUCAGAACAAUGUUAAGGAGAAGUAGUAAUAGUGUACAUCUUAUUUUGUUCCUGGAGUCAAUAAAAAUAUUUAAUAUUUUACUUUAAAAUUAUUUAAUAUUUUAAUUAAAAUGUUAGCCUAGAUUUUCUUUUUAGGCUAUCCAUUGCCAAAUUAAGAAAGUUUCUUUCUAGUUUUAUUAGCAUUUUUACCAUGAACACAUCUUGACUUUUAUCACUUUUUUUUUGCAUGUAUUGAGAAACCUAUAUUGUUUUUCCCUUUUAUACUGAUAAUGUAUUGAAUUAUACUGAUUGAUUUUUAAUGUUAACCCUACCCAAUUGCUCAGGAUAAACCCCACAUGGCCAUGAUAUAUUUUCUAUAAAUCAUCUAUUUGUUAAAAUUGUGUUUAGAAUUUUUGCAUCCUUGUGUAUGAGAGAUAUUAGUCUGUAGUGUUCCU